GGGGAAUAUGUGGGGGAAAGGAGACUUGAGUGAAGGAAGCUGACUGAAGGGGCAUGUGAGGGAUACAGAGGGACCCUGAGGAAGGGGCUUUCUAGGUGUUCGAACCAAGCAGGAGCCAUGCCUUGAGGCAGAGAAUCCCCAAAAUGGGAUGUAGUAUACAGCCUCUGUUCUGUGAGAGGCGAUGCGGAAUGGCCGGGAGAGGGAUCGGUGGGCAUGUCGUGAGCUGUGACAGAGGAAAUGGAGCAAAGGCAUAGGGAAGCUCUUUGUCCCAGGGGAGGAGGAGAGCAUUGCCCUGGGAGAGCUGUACCAUCCCCGCUCUGGAGCCAGUAGCAUGGACAUUUCUUGUUCAGCCCCAGGUCGAGACAGGUGGAGCAAACCAGAUGGAGAUGUCACCACACCUGCCCUUUAUUAGCCAGUCAUCAAGGUACAGAAAAAUUUGCACCCCUCAGUGCCUCAGGAGCUGGGCCAAGGGCCACUCCAUGACGUUGACGGAGGACAGAAUGGCUUUCUAGCCUGCUGAGGGGUGUGUAAGCCCAAGGAAUGGAGUGGGGCACAGGAGUCUUUAAGGCCAUAGAGCAGUGCAUCGGUCAGCUCCGAAAAGCGCCUGUCCCCCUCAGAUCAGAGGUCCUGGAGGGUAGUCCUGGGACAGCCCAGAGACUGUAACCAGGAGCUGUGCCUUAUGACCCCUGCAGAGGCGACUACCCUGGCCACCAAGGCUGUAGCAUCCCAGGCCAUCUGGAGGGCGCCUCUUGCCACCACCUUGCCCUCAUUCACCAGGGUGGCGAACUCCUUGGCUCGGUCCUGUGGGAGGCCCUCCUUGAAGUUGUACCUGCCUAGCAGGGCCUGAUGGUUAGACACCUGAAAUUUCAGGCUGGCUGUCAAAUAAAUGUUCCUGCCAAACAAGUCCA
Molecule: long non-coding RNA, 908 nt
Organism: Mauremys mutica (yellowpond turtle)
Lineage: Eukaryota; Metazoa; Chordata; Testudines; Geoemydidae
Exons: 5
Source: RefSeq, a predicted model, not a curated record